Molecule: long non-coding RNA, 1965 nt
Organism: Oncorhynchus mykiss (rainbow trout)
Lineage: Eukaryota; Metazoa; Chordata; Actinopteri; Salmoniformes; Salmonidae
Source: Ensembl
UCACUCUUUUCCUUUCGCUUCCCCUCACUCUCUUUAUUUUCUCCCCAUCCCUCUCUCCCAUCUCUCUCCCCUCUCUCUCUCCUCUUUCCCCCAUCCCUCUCUCUCCUCUCUCUCUGCCGAUCCCUUUCUCCCUUCCCUCUCUCCCCUCUCUCUCUCUCCCCUCUCUCUGCCGAUCCCUUUCUCCCUUCCCUCUCUCCCCUCUCUCUGCCGAUCUCUCUCUCUCCCAUCUCUCUCUCUCCCCUCUCUCUGCCGAUCCCUUUCUCCCUUCCCUCUCUCCCCUCUCUCUGCUUAUCCCUCUCUUCCAUCCCUUUCUCCCCUUUCUCUCUGCCGAUCUCUCUCCCCCAUCUCUCUCUCUCCCCUCUCUCUGCCGAUCCCUUUCUCCCUUCCCUCUCUCCCCUCUCUCUGCUUAUCUCUCUCUUCCAUCCCUCUCUCCCCUUUCUCUCUGCCGAUCUCUCUCUCCCAUCUCUCUCUCUCCCCUCUCUCUGCCGAUCCCUUUCUCCCUUCCCUCUCUCCCCUCUCUCUGCUUAUCCCUCUCUUCCAUCCCUCUCUCCCCUUUCUCCCAUCUCUCUCUCCCCUUUCUCUCUGCCGAUCUCUCUCUCUCCCUUCUCUCUGCCGAUCCCUUUCUCCCUUCCCUCUCUCUGCUUAUCCCUCUCUUCCAUCCCUCUCUCCCCUCUCUCUGCUUAUCCCUCUCUUCCACCCCUUUCUCCCCUUUCUCUCUGCCGAUCUCUCUCUCCCAUCUCCCUCUCUCCCCUCUCUCUGCUUAUCCCUCUCUUCCAUCCCUUUCUCCCUUUUCUCUCUGCCGAUCUCUCUCUCCCAUCUCCCUCUCUCCCCUCUCUCUGCCAAUCCCUUUCUCCUUUCCCUCUCUCCCCUCUCUCUGCCGAUCUCUCUCUCCCAUCUCUCUCUCCCCUCUCUCUGCCGAUCCCUUUCUCCCUUCCCUCUCUCCCCUCUCUCUGCUUAUCCCUCUCUUCCAUCCCUUUCUCCCCUUUCUCUCUGCCGAUCUCUCUCCCCCAUCUCUCUUUCUCCCCUCUCUCUGCCGAUCCCUUUCUCCCUUCCACCUCUCCCCUCUCUCUGCUUAUCUCUCUCUUCCAUCCCUCUCUCCCCUUUCUCUCUGCCGAUCUCUCUCUCCCAUCUCUCUCUCUCCCCUCUCACUGCCGAUCCCUUUCUCCCUUCCCUCUCUCCCCUCUCUCUGCUUAUCCCUCUCUUCCAUCCCUCUCUCCCCUUUCUCCCAUCUCUCUCUCGCCCCUUUCUCUCUGCCGAUCUCUCUCUCUCCCUUCUCUCUGCCGAUCCCUUUCUCCCUUCCCUCUCUCCCCUCUCUCUGCUUAUCCCUCUCUUCCAUCCCUCUCUCCCCUCUCUCUGCUUAUCCCUCUCUUCCAUCCCUCUCUCCCCUUUCUCUCUGCUGAUCCCUCUCUCCCAUCUCUCUCUCUCCCCUUUCUCUCUUCCGAUCUCUCUCUCCCAUCUCUCUCUCUCCCCUCUCUCUGCUUAUCCCUCUCUUCCAUCCCUCUCUCCCCUUUCUCUCUGCCGAUCCCUCUCUCCCAUCACUCUCUCUCCCCUCUCUCUGUCAUCCCUCUCUCCCCUCUCUCUCCCCUCUCUCUCUGCCCAUCCCUCUCUCCUAUCCCUCUCUCCAUUCCCUCUCUCCUCUCUCUCUAUGCCGAUCCCUCUCUCCCCUCUCUCUCUGCCUAUCCCUCUCUCCCAUCCCUCUCUCCCAUCCCUCUCUCCCAUCCCUCUCUCUGCCUGUAUUUCUCAGUGCCUGUGGAACCAGCGAUACCAGAGCUGUUCAGGUCAGUAUUUCUGUUCACCUGCCUUUCCGGCUUCCCCCUUGUGAGUGAAAGAGGGAGAGAUGGGGAGGGAAAGAGAGAGAGAGAGAGAGGGAGCGGGAGAGAGGCUGAGAGAUGGAAGGCCACUAGGGCUGAUAAUGGAUGUGGAGCACUCCCAGGCUCUCAGUGUGUAGUGAGAGAUGAGCACUAA